Molecule: ribosomal RNA, 345 nt
Filed under: uncultured bacterium
Lineage: Bacteria
Description: bacterial SSU rRNA
Rfam family: Bacterial small subunit ribosomal RNA
Source: RNAcentral
UACCGUAUGAGGUCACAUUGCGGGGCAUCUAAGUGUGACGAAAGGUUUUGGCGGACAUGGAUGGGGAUGCGUCCGAUUAGCUAGUUGGCGGGUAACGGCCCACCAAGGCGACGAUCGGUAGGGGUUCUGAGAGGAAGGUCCCCCACAUUGGAACUGAGACACGGGUCCAAACUCCUACGGGAGGCAGCAGUGAGGAAUAUUGGUCAAUGGACGUAAGUCUGAACCAGCCAAGUAGCGUGCAGGAUGACGGCCCUAUGGGUUGUAAACUGCUUUUAUGCGGGGAUAAAGUGUGGGACGUGUCCCAUAUUGCAGGUACUGCAUGAAUAAGGACCGGCUAAUUCCGUG